GAGAGGAUGAUGAGUUGGCUGAAGGCAUCCGCCCUGCUUUUAUUAAAUCUGAUUUCAGUGACAUAAACAAUAAUGUCAAUAAAAAUGCUUCAAAGAAUGCUGCUGACGUGCAUUUUCAGGAGGAGAAGCCUAGUUCCUCUGCUGAUACAAGCAUUUUCAGCUUAGAGACAACAGACAAUGAUAAUACAUUUGGAAAUAAGCCGGUCAGUGGAUCAAGUAUAAACCCUUUUGAAGACUAUACCAAAUCAAGUGUUGAUACUGCCAGUCCAGCUGAUGUCGUUUUGGCACCUGUUAGUCACAGAGCGAGCGGAGGAUCUCUUCCAAAC
This 326-nucleotide long non-coding RNA is filed under the name Daucus carota (carrot). RNAcentral's name for it is "long non-coding RNA (DCAR_LNC002797)". The record is from RNAcentral. Lineage: Eukaryota; Viridiplantae; Streptophyta; Magnoliopsida; Apiales; Apiaceae.